RNAcentral lists this long non-coding RNA (1180 nucleotides) under Pelobates cultripes (western spadefoot toad). Lineage: Eukaryota; Metazoa; Chordata; Amphibia; Anura; Pelobatidae. The record is from RNAcentral.
CUUUCAGCUUGGUGUCUAGAAGUGGGAUAGAUAGAAGUUGGAUCAGCAAAACCAUUUGCGGUGAGUAGCCUUUUUGUGUCUUAUUUGACGCUGAUUGUCUAUGACCCCCUUUGGUUCAGUAAGACUGUAUCCAGUAGAUAGGAAAGGUGUAAGGACUCUAGUUAUAUUGAGACUGUAAAUAGGUCUCCGGUUUAUUAGACAUUUGGUCUAAAUAUAUAUAGGGGUUCUUGGUAACCCAGGUUAGUAUCUAAGAUAGAUACAGGUUUUUGAGACCAUAAGAGGUCUCCGGUUUAUUAUAGGGUUUUGGUAACCCAGGUUAGUAUCUAAGAUAGAUACAGGGUAUCUCAGGUAGAUACAGGUUUUUGAGACCAUAAGAGGUCUCCGGUUUAUUAAGUCUAUAGGUGUUCUGAGCAGCACGGUUUGUAGAUCUAUAAGUAUAACCCAAACUUCUCUUUCUCCCGGUCACCUUUGUUUGUCUUAAGUGUUUUUUGUGGGUGAUUGUUUGUCUAUAUUGGGGACACACUUUGGUAAGUUAGUAGUGUCCCCACUCUGAGUCAGCAGUAUGGGAAAUGUGAGUUCAUGUCCUGAGUGACCAAUAUAUGUAUGUAUAUAUGUGUGUGUAUAUGUAUAUAUGUGUGUAUAUGUAUAUGUGUAUAUAUAAGAUAGCAGUACUUUUAAACAAAUGGAGGUUUUAAAAAUACAUAGGGAUUAAGGAGAGAACGCAGGUAACUUGUUUUUCUUUGGUUUUUACCAUAUAUUGGGGCUGAUGUGUACUGUAGUCCUUGCUGCUGUCCAGUAGUGAUGGGAGUGAGCGCAGGACUUAUCUUUCUGCAAGAUAGCAGUACUGUAUAUUAGAAAAGAAAUUACUCACAGGUUGUACCUGAUAGACCUACUUAAAUCUUUUUGCUUUAUUCUUUCUGUCGCAUAGAAGUAUAAGUUUAUUACUCUGUUUUAUUGUAAGUUAUUUCACAUGGGAACUGUGUGCCUGGUAUGAUUGUUGCUUUAAAAAUACUAUAAGCCCACUACACUUAUUAUGAGAGUGGGAUAGUGUAAAUGUGUUGCAUUGUUUGCAUGAUGAGCUCAGUAUAUUUUAUAACUGAGACAAAAAGUCACUUCAUUAGUAAAGUUAAUUCCCCAUAUGGGAUUAAUUGUAUAGAAACACCAAUCAGCACAUCUUCCC